This 238-nucleotide ribosomal RNA is filed under the name uncultured bacterium. RNAcentral describes it as "partial 16S ribosomal RNA". It matches the Rfam family "Bacterial small subunit ribosomal RNA", at positions 95 to 334 of the family's 1533-position model. The record is from RNAcentral.
CCGGCAAACGGGUGCGGAACACGUACAGAACCUUCCUUUAAUGGGGGAUAGCCCGAAGAAAUUCGGAUUAAUACCCCGUAACAUUAUGUUGUGGCAUCACAUUAUAAUUAUAGAUUUAUCGCUUAGAGAUGGCUGUGCGGCUGAUUAGGUAGUUGGCGGGGUAAAGGCCCACCAAGCCUUCGAUCAGUAACUGGUGUGAGAGCACGACCAGUCACACGGGCACUGAGACACGGGCCCG